RNAcentral lists this ribosomal RNA (253 nucleotides) under uncultured bacterium. Its description in RNAcentral is "partial 16S ribosomal RNA". It matches the Rfam family "Bacterial small subunit ribosomal RNA", at positions 524 to 776 of the family's 1533-position model. The record is from RNAcentral.
UACGGAGGGUGCAAGCGUUAAUCGGAAUUACUGGGCGUAAAGCGUGCGUAGGCGGUUUAUUAAGUCAGAUGUGAAAGCCCCGGGCUUAACCUGGGAACUGCAUUUGAAACUGGCAGGCUAGAGUCUUGUAGAGGGGGGUAGAAUUCCAGGUGUAGCGGUGAAAUGCGUAGAGAUCUGGAGGAAUACCGGUGGCGAAGGCGACUUCCUGGACCAAUACUGACACUGAGGUGCGAAAGCGUGGGGAGCAAACAGG